AGUCGAGGGGUAACAGAGAAAAGCUUGCUUUUCUGCUGACGACCGGCGCACGGGUGCGUAACGCGUAUACAAUCUGCCUUAUACAGAGGGAUAGCCUUUAGAAAUGAAGAUUAAUACCUUAUAGUCUAUAUAUAUAGCAUUAUAUAAAUAGUAAAGCUUCGGUGGUAUAAGAUGAGUAUGCGUCCUAUUAGUUAGUUGGUGAGGUAACGGCUUACCAAGACAACGAUAGGUAGGGGCCCUGAGAGGGGGAUCCCCCACACUGGUACUGAGACACGGACCAGACUCCUACGGGAGGCAGCAGUGAGGAAUAUUGGACAAUGGAGGCAACUCUGAUCCAGCCAUGCCGCGUGCAGGAAGACGGCCCUAUGGGUUGUAAACUGCUUUUAUAUAGGAGGAAACCUUUUCACGUGUGAGAAGCUGACGGUACUAUAAGAAUAAGGACCGGCUAACUCCGUGCCAGCAGCCGCGGUAAUACGGAGGGUCCGAGCGUUAUCCGGAAUCAUUGGGUUUAAAGGGUCCGUAGGCGGGAAUCUAAGUCAGUGGUG
RNAcentral lists this ribosomal RNA (545 nucleotides) under uncultured marine bacterium. RNAcentral describes it as "bacterial SSU rRNA". It matches the Rfam family "Bacterial small subunit ribosomal RNA", at positions 60 to 596 of the family's 1533-position model. The record is from RNAcentral.